UAGGGAAUUUUCGUCAAUGGGCGCAAGCCUGAACGAGCAAUGCCGCGUGAACGAGGAAGGUCUUCGGAUCGUAAAGUUCUGUUGAGAGGGAAAAAGGGUCACCAGAGGAAAUGCUGGUGAAGUGAUAUUACCUUUCGAGGAAGUCACGGCUAACUACGUGCCAGCAGCCGCGGUAAUACGUAGGUGGCGAGCGUUAUCCGGAAUGAUUGGGCGUAAAGGGUGCGUAGGCGGCCUGUUAAGUCUGAAGUGAAAGGUACCGGCUCAACCGGUAUAGGCUUUGGAAACUGGCAGGCUGGAGGACAGGAGAGGGCGGUGGAACUCCAUGUGUAGCGGUAAAACUGCGUAGAUAUAUGGAAGAACACCAGUGGCGAAGGCGGCCGCCUGGCCUGUUACUGACGCUGAGGCACGAAAGCGUGGGGAGCAAAUAGGAUUAGAUACC
RNAcentral lists this ribosomal RNA (439 nucleotides) under uncultured bacterium. RNAcentral describes it as "bacterial SSU rRNA". It matches the Rfam family "Bacterial small subunit ribosomal RNA", at positions 355 to 786 of the family's 1533-position model. The record is from RNAcentral.